Molecule: ribosomal RNA, 253 nt
Filed under: uncultured bacterium
Lineage: Bacteria
Description: partial 16S ribosomal RNA
Rfam family: Bacterial small subunit ribosomal RNA
Source: RNAcentral
UACAGAGGGUGCAAGCGUUAAUCGGAAUUACUGGGCGUAAAGGGUGCGUAGGUGGUUAAUUAAGUCAGAUGUGAAAUCCCUAGGCUUAACCUGGGAAUUGCAUUUGAAACUGAAUGACUAGAGUAUGGUAGAGGGAAGUGGAAUUUCCGGUGUAGCGGUGAAAUGCGUAGAUAUCGGAAGGAACAUCAGUGGCGAAGGCGACUUCCUGGACCAUUACUGACACUGAGGCACGAAAGCGUGGGGAGCGAACAGG